This 69-nucleotide transfer RNA is filed under the name Lepidion lepidion (Mediterranean codling). Its description in RNAcentral is "tRNA-His". It matches the Rfam family "tRNA". Rfam says of the family: Transfer RNA (tRNA) molecules are approximately 80 nucleotides in length. Their secondary structure includes four short double-helical elements and three loops (D, anti-codon, and T loops). The record is from RNAcentral. Lineage: Eukaryota; Metazoa; Chordata; Actinopteri; Gadiformes; Moridae.
GUAGAUUUAGUUUAACUAAAAUUUUAGAUUGUGAUUCUGAAGAUAGAGGCUAAUCCCCUCUAAUUUACC